RNAcentral lists this small nucleolar RNA (202 nucleotides) under Eurytemora carolleeae. Its description in RNAcentral is "small nucleolar RNA U3". It matches the Rfam family "Small nucleolar RNA U3". Rfam says of the family: Small nucleolar RNAs (snoRNAs) are involved in the processing and modification of rRNA in the nucleolus. There are two main classes of snoRNAs: the box C/D class, and the box H/ACA class. The record is from RNAcentral. Lineage: Eukaryota; Metazoa; Arthropoda; Copepoda; Calanoida; Temoridae.
AAGAUUAUACUUCACAGGAUCAUUUCUGUAGUAUGAUUGACAAGUUUCCUGUCUGAAACUUGAAACCUUACUCAGCCAUGAUGAUGAGACACAUGGCGUGUUCAGAGCGUGAAAAGGUUUCGAUCUUUCAAAGGAUCGAGGCGUUGAUGAUCGCUCGGAGACCUUCCAGUUUCCGAUUAGAACAUGUCAUCGUCUGAGUGGU